AACGAACGCUGGCGGCAGGCUUAACACAUGCAAGUCGAGCGGGCGUAGCAAUACGUCAGCGGCAGACGGGUGAGUAACGCGUGGGAACGUACCUUUUGGUUCGGAACAACACAGGGAAACUUGUGCUAAUACCGGAUAAGCCCUUACGGGGAAAGAUUUAUCGCCGAAAGAUCGGCCCGCGUCUGAUUAGCUAGUUGGUGAGGUAACGGCUCACCAAGGCGACGAUCAGUAGCUGGUCUGAGAGGAUGAUCAGCCACAUUGGGACUGAGACACGGCCCAAACUCCUACGGGAGGCAGCAGUGGGGAAUAUUGGACAAUGGGGGGAAACCCUGAUCCAGCAAUGCCGCGUGUGUGAUGAAAGCCUUAGGGUUGUAAAGCUCUUUUGCCAGGGAAGAUGAUGACUGUACCUGGAGAAUAAGCCCCGGCUAACUUCGUGCCAGCAGCCGCGGUAAU
This 453-nucleotide ribosomal RNA is filed under the name uncultured bacterium. Its description in RNAcentral is "bacterial SSU rRNA". It matches the Rfam family "Bacterial small subunit ribosomal RNA", at positions 29 to 524 of the family's 1533-position model. The record is from RNAcentral.